CGCCUACGGGGGGCAGCAGUGGGGGAUAUUGGGCAAUGGGGGAAACCCUGACCCAGCGACGCCGCGUGAGGGAAGAAGGUUUUCGGAUUGUAAACCUCUGUCCUUGGUGACGAUAAUGACGGUAGCCAAGGAGGAAGCCCCGGCUAACUACGGGCCAGCAGCCGCGGUAAUACGUAGGGGGCAAGCGUUAUCCGGAUUUACUAGGUGUAAAGGGGGCGCAGACGGCAAUGCAAGCCAGGAGUGAAAGCCCGGGGCCCAACCCCGG
Molecule: ribosomal RNA, 265 nt
Filed under: uncultured bacterium
Lineage: Bacteria
Description: partial 16S ribosomal RNA
Rfam family: Bacterial small subunit ribosomal RNA
Source: RNAcentral